UCUCUCGAGAUGUAUUAAAGCUGUACUGCAGAAGGAUCCGAGUGGCCUGCGUGCGUUUUGCUGGCGAGACGGUAGCGUGGGUCAUCUGGUUGCCAGAAUCCCGGGAAUUAACAUCAUUGGCGUUUGGGAGAAUCCCCGGAGACGGGGUGGAUUCAGAACUGCAGGGAAAAGAAUUGGACCAUAGAAUUUGAACAGACACUCCGGGAGCUGAAGAUCGCUGUCUUACAAGUCAAUUCGACACGUCUUGACCUGUCAUUGAUGGAAGGAUAUUCUACCUGGAUUUCUGCAGCAUUCUCCUACUUCAAGAAAUGGGUGGGGGUGGAUUUGUUUGGAGUGGCUGUGUGCGGUGGAGUACUGCUCCUACUAUGGAUGAUCUGCAAACUUAAAGCCCAAACAAGGAGGGACAGGAUGGUAGUAACCCAGGCACUUGUUGCUUUGGAGCAUGGUGCCUCCCCCGAUAUAUGAUUAUGGAUACUUAAGCAAUAGGUCGCUGGCCGCUCAGCUCUUGCACCCCACGAGGCUAGUCUCAUUGCACGGGAUAGAGUGAGUGUGCUUUAGCAACCUGUGAGAGUUGUACGGCUAAGCACUGCAGUAGAAAGUCUCUGCGGCAUAAGAUGAGCCUAUUCUAGGGAGACAUGUCAUCUUGUAUGAAGGUUGAGUGUCCAAGUGUCCUUCCUCCAGGAAAAACGACACAGGAGCGGACCAAAACCCCUCCGGGUGACGAGCCUGGGAGGAGGUUUUGUGUAAGGCCCCUAUGCUUGCACACUGGGGAUUUGACCUCUAUCUCCACUCUCAGUACUGGGUGGCCUGUUGCUUCUAAAAUAAAAGAAAAGGGGGAGAUGUGAGGAGCUGCCUUCACAGUCGCCAUUACAAGAUGGCGCUGACAUCUGUUGCUCAUAGUAAAAUGUGCGCAGGCGUCAGGGUAUCGUUUCAUUACCUGAGCCCUGCCUUUCUUGUGGCGUUAACUGACUGAUAGUGGGCAGCCAAUCCCAGAGGUGCAUGUCUCCAACCGUUUUUUCGCAGCCUAUAAAAGGGAAGGGUUUUCUGCUCUCUGGGUCUCCUCUACUGAAGCUGAUCAUCUAUCUCUCGAGAUGUAUUAAAGCUGUACUGCAGAAGGAUCCGAGUGGCCUGCGUGCAUUUUGCUGGCGAGACGGUAGCGUGGGUCAACCCUCCAUGUCACAAGUGAACAUUCUGAUAGAGUACACACCUGUGUUUAAUAUAAUUCCAAAUGUCUACAACUUUCUUUCUUUUGAGAAGCAGUAAUUUGUAACAAAAAGUUCAAAUGUGUACCAUGAUUGCCAUUUUCAUUGUACAGGAUUGGUUAAUGUUAAUGGCUGAAAAUUCAUUACAGUUUGCAUUAAUAUAUGCCCCCAAUAAUAUAGAUAGAAUACAAUUAUUUAAUCAUUAAUCAAAGAAAAACACAUGUUAAGAAUAAGAAUUAUUUUAUUCACUUCUGCAAUGUCCAUCAUUCUAUUAUAGUCCUGAUGUUUUUAGUAUUUCCCAACAUAACCCAUAUAAUGAUAUGUCUCUCAUUUUCUCUCAUUCAGUCAAUGUUUUUUGCUGGCUUGUUGUUGUUGUUGUUGUUGUUGCUUUGUUCUUUUCUUAAUAUAACUUGCUGUUUUUCUUGGGUUUUGCAUUGUUUGAAUUUUGCAGAAAAGUAUUAUGUAGAUCUUAUGAACUGCUAAUUAAGGCAGAGAUCAACAAGUAUAAAAUACCUAAAUACCUA
Long non-coding RNA from Mus musculus (house mouse), 1726 nucleotides. RefSeq annotates it as predicted gene, 53389. The transcript has 2 exons. The record is from RefSeq and is a predicted model, not a curated record. NCBI's taxonomy places the organism in Eukaryota, Metazoa, Chordata, Mammalia, Rodentia, Muridae.